AAAUUGAAGAGUUUGAUCAUGGCUCAGAUUGAACGCUGGCGGCAGGCCUAACACAUGCAAGUCGAACGGUAACAGGAAGAAGCUUGCUUCUUUGCUGACGAGUGGCGGACGGGUGAGUAAUGUCUGGGAAACUGCCUGAUGGAGGGGGAUAACUACUGGAAACGGUAGCUAAUACCGCAUAACGUCGCAAGACCAAAGAGGGGGACCUUCGGGCCUCUUGCCAUCGGAUGUGCCCAGAUGGGAUUAGCUAGUAGGUGGGGUAACGGCUCACCUAGGCGACGAUCCCUAGCUGGUCUGAGAGGAUGACCAGCCACACUGGAACUGAGACACGGUCCAGACUCCUACGGGAGGCAGCAGUGGGGAAUAUUGCACAAUGGGCGCAAGCCUGAUGCAGCCAUGCCGCGUGUAUGAAGAAGGCCUUCGGGUUGUAAAGUACUUUCAGCGGGGAGGAAGGGAGUAAAGUUAAUACCUUUGCUCAUUGACGUUACCCGCAGAAGAAGCACCGGCUAACUCCGUGCCAGCAGCCGCGGUAAUACGGAGGGUGCAAGCGUUAAUCGGAAUUACUGGGCGUAAAGCGCACGCAGGCGGUUUGUUAAGUCAGAUGUGAAAUCCCCGGGCUCAACCUGGGAACUGCAUCUGAUACUGGCAAGCUUGAGUCUCGUAGAGGGGGGUAGAAUUCCAGGUGUAGCGGUGAAAUGCGUAGAGAUCUGGAGGAAUACCGGUGGCGAAGGCGGCCCCCUGGACGAAGACUGACGCUCAGGUGCGAAAGCGUGGGAGCAAACAGGAUUAGAUACCACAGUCCACGCCGUAAACGAUGUCGACUUGGAGGUUGUGCCCUUUGAGGCGUGGCUUCCGGAGCUAACGCGUUAAGUCGACCGCACGGGGAGUACGGCCGCAAGGUUAAAACUCAAAUGAAUUGACGGGGGCCCGCACAAGCGGUGGAGCAUGUGGUUUAAUUCGAUGCAACGCGAAGAACCUUACCUGGUCUUGACAUCCACGGAAGUUUUCAGAGAUGAGAAUGUGCCUUCGGGAACCGUGAGACAGGUGCUGCAUGGCUGUCGUCAGCUCGUGUUGUGAAAUGUUGGGUUAAGUCCCGCAACGAGCGCAACCCUUAUCCUUUGUUGCCAGCGGUCCGGCUUAGGGAACUCAAAGGAGACUGCCAGUGAUAAACUGGAGGAAGGUGGGGAUGACGUCAAGUCAUCAUGGCCCUUACGACCAGGGCUACACACGUGCUACAAUGGCGCAUACAAAGAGAAGCGACCUCGCGAGAGCAAGCGGACCUCAUAAAGUGCGUCGUAGUCCGGAUUGGAGUCUGCAACUCGACUCCAUGAAGUCGGAAUCGCUAGUAAUCGUGGAUCAGAAUGCCACGGUGAAUACGUUCCCGGGCCUUGUACACACCGCCCGUCACACCAUGGGAGUGGGUUGCAAAAGAAGUAGGUAGCUUAACCUUCGGGAGGGCGCUUACCACUUUGUGAUUCAUGACUGGGGUGAAGUCGUAACAAGGUAACCGUAGGGGAACCUGCGGUUGGAUCACCUCCUUACCUUAAAGAAGC
This 1553-nucleotide ribosomal RNA is filed under the name Escherichia coli. RNAcentral's name for it is "bacterial SSU rRNA". It matches the Rfam family "Bacterial small subunit ribosomal RNA". Lineage: Bacteria; Pseudomonadati; Pseudomonadota; Gammaproteobacteria; Enterobacterales; Enterobacteriaceae. The record is from RNAcentral.